Molecule: ribosomal RNA, 465 nt
Filed under: uncultured bacterium
Lineage: Bacteria
Description: partial 16S ribosomal RNA
Rfam family: Bacterial small subunit ribosomal RNA
Source: RNAcentral
GACGAACGCUGGCGGCGUGCUUAACACAUGCAAGUCGUACGGUAAGGCCCUUUCGGGGGUACACGAGUGGCGAACGGGUGAGUAACACGUGAGUAACCUGCCCACAACUUUGGGAUAACGCUAGGAAACUGGUGCUAAUACUGGAUAUGUGCUCCUGCUGCAUGGGGGGGGUUGGAAAGCUCCGGCGGUUGUGGAUGGACUCGCGGCCUAUCAGCUUGUUGGUGGGGUAGUGGCCUACCAAGGCGGCGACGGGUAGCCGGCCUGAGAGAGUGACCGGCCACAUUGGGACUGAGAUACGGCCCAGACUCCGACGGGAGGCAGCAGUGGGGAAUAUUGCACAAUGGGCGCAAGCCUGAUGCAGCAACGCCGCGUGCGGGAUGACGGCCUUCGGGUUGUAAACCGCUUUCAGCAGGGACGAAGCUUUUUGUGACGGUACCUGCAGAAGAAGCACCGGCUAACUACGUG